Molecule: long non-coding RNA, 469 nt
Organism: Sorghum bicolor (sorghum)
Lineage: Eukaryota; Viridiplantae; Streptophyta; Magnoliopsida; Poales; Poaceae
Exons: 3
Source: RefSeq, a predicted model, not a curated record
CACCAUUGUUAAUCUCUACCAACAACAAUAGGACCAGCACGUCGAUGCUCAGGAGCAUCAACUGAGUUUGAGGAACUCUACAAUUUAAGACCCAUAUGUUCUCCAUACCCCAACCUAGCUGUCGAGAUUUGUUUUUUUUACUGGUGAAGUCAUUGGCCAAUGAAAGAUGUUUGCCGAACCCUGACGGUGACGAGGUGUUCUUUACCACUACGUGUGUUGCUAUCGCCCAAUCCAUGUCAGACCUGCACUUUGCCGUAAUCUGCCGCUGGAGCAUGUAAGCCGCCAUGCAUGCAACUGUGCACGUCUAGGACUGCUGCCCCAAGCUGAAGGCUUCCUCUCCCCCAUCGUGCAUAGCAACCUGCAAUUUGCCAUGGCCAUGAUCGUACAGGAGUUCAAGGGUUAGGACAAAGUAUUUACAGAAUAGCCUCUGUCAGUGAGCAAUUCGUGGUGAACAAGAGUACUUCAGUGA